GAAGGUGGCAAGCGUUGUUCGGAUUUACUGGGCGUACAGGGAGCGUAGGCGGUUCGGUAAGCCCUCUGUGAAAUCUCCAGACUUAACCUGGAACAGUCGGGGGGGACUGCUGGGCUAGAGGACGGGAGAGGAGCGCGGAAUUCCCGGUGUAGCGGUGAAAUGCGUAGAGAUCGGGAGGAAGGCCAGUGGCGAAGGCGGCGCUCUGGAACGUUUCUGACGCUGAGGCUCGAAAGCGUGGGGAGCAAACAGGAUUAGAUACCCUGGUAGUCCACGCCUUAAACUAUGAAUACUAAGUGUCGGCGGGUUACCGCCGGUGCCGCAGCUAACGCAUCAAGUAUUCCGCCUGGGAAGUACGGCCGCAAGGUG
RNAcentral lists this ribosomal RNA (366 nucleotides) under uncultured bacterium. RNAcentral's name for it is "bacterial SSU rRNA". It matches the Rfam family "Bacterial small subunit ribosomal RNA", at positions 527 to 895 of the family's 1533-position model. The record is from RNAcentral.